This 468-nucleotide ribosomal RNA is filed under the name uncultured bacterium. RNAcentral's name for it is "partial 16S ribosomal RNA". It matches the Rfam family "Bacterial small subunit ribosomal RNA", at positions 28 to 507 of the family's 1533-position model. The record is from RNAcentral.
GACGAACGCUGGCGGCGUGCUUAACACAUGCAAGUCGAACGGAAAGGCCCUGCUUUCGUGGUGUGCUCGAGUGGCGAAAGGGUGAGUAACACGUGUGUAACCUGCCUGUUACUUUGGGAUAUCUUCAGGAAACUGGGGCUAAUACCGGAUAUUAGCUCCUGCUGCAUGGUGUGGGGUGGAAAGUUUGGGCGGUUGGGGUUGGACUCGCGGCUUAUCGGCCUGUUGGUGGGGUAGUGGCUUACCAAGGCUUUGACGGGUAGCCGGCCUGAGAGGUGGACCGGCCACACUGGGACUGAGACACGGCCCAGACUCCGACGGGAGGCAGCAGUGAGGAGUAUUGCACAAUGGGCGGAAGCCUGAUGCAGCAACGCCGCGUGUGGGAUGACGGCCUUCGGGUUGUAAACCGCUUUCGCCUGUGACGAAGCGGGAGUGACGGUAAUGGGUAAAGAAGCACCGGCUAACUACGUG